UAGCUGUAGGUGAACCUGCUGCUGGAUCAUUAACGACUAUAAACAUAAGCGUUGACUGUAAGUCAGUAGUCUGUGUAAGCUUGCUGCAUGUGUAAGCCGAGUCGAGUGUCCUCACCGACUCGCAUGGACGACCGCCUUAACGGCCUCUGUUGGUUUCUACGCCUUAUUGAGCAGUUGUUGCCUCUGUCCGUGACUGCGUUGAAGUAAGAGACACACCACUUGUGGUGAGAAUCAAUGAGCUCACAGCUUGAGUGAGCCGCCAACACACAUUUUCAUUUACACAUUUUCCAUACUAAAGUAUUCUAGCCUUAUCGGUGGAUCACUCGGUUCGU
Molecule: unclassified non-coding RNA, 332 nt
Filed under: plant metagenome
Description: partial contains small subunit ribosomal RNA, internal transcribed spacer 1, and 5.8S ribosomal RNA
Source: RNAcentral